Molecule: ribosomal RNA, 486 nt
Filed under: uncultured bacterium
Lineage: Bacteria
Description: partial 16S ribosomal RNA
Rfam family: Bacterial small subunit ribosomal RNA
Source: RNAcentral
AUUGAACGCUGGCGGCAUGCUUUACACAUGCAAGUCGAGCGGCAGCGCGGGGGCAACCCUGGCGGCGAGCGGCGAACGGGUGAGUAAUGCAUCGGAACGUAUCCUCGAGUGGGGGAUAACCCAGCGAAAGUUGGGCUAAUACCGCAUGAGCUCUGAGGAGGAAAGCGGGGGACCUGCGAGUGCCUCGCGCUGGAGGAGCGGCCGAUGUCCGAUUAGCUAGUUGGUGGGGUAAGGGCUUACCAAGGCGACGAUCGGUAGCUGGUCUGAGAGGAUGAUCAGCCACACUGGGACUGAGACACGGCCCAGACUCCUACGGGAGGCAGCAGUGGGGAAUUUUGGACAGUGGGGGCAACCCUGAUCCAGCCAUGCCGCGUGAGUGAAGAAGGCCUUCGGGUUGUAAAGCUCUUUCGGACGGAACGAAAUGGGCGGGACUAAUACUCCUGUCUGAUGACGGUACCGUAAGAAGAAGCACCGGCUAACUACGUG